AGUUAGCUGUCUUCUCUGUACUUAGUGCUAGUGUGCGCCAAAACUUACCUUACCCUGCUCUCUAUCUAGAACCUAGUGCACAUGCGCAGGCCAUUAAAUUUCUAAGCUGAACUCAGCAUUUCCCUGGGACUUGAGCUCUAAAUCGCUCAAAGCACUCUGUAAAAGUUUGUCCACAUUGUUGCACCUCUUUGUCUCACAAGCGUCUCUUCUAUGAUAGUGCCACAAAUCAGUGGAUUAAGAAAAUUCGCCUCACUACUGAAGACCACCGAAGGGAGCUUACUUCUACUGAGCAAGCUAUUGAAGAAUGUGCUUCAUUACUGACGAACAUGAGGUAGCAGCUGGAGGUGCAGCUCAAGCUGAUAGUCCUCCGCCAUUAGUAGAUUUUGGAGAUGACCCAAACUUUAGCCAAGAUAGUGAUGGCUAUUUUGAACCAGACACUGGAUUAUUAAUACCAGCAGAAGCUGAAGGCAGUGCAGAGUCAGUACGGAUGAGAUACAUUCGAAGGGUCAGGAUCUCGAUGAAAUUGAAUUAUGGGAUGAUAAUGAAGACAACUGUGACGAGGGUGUAUCUUCCCACACAAGAAGCGUUAAGCUCAUUCUGUCUACUCAUGAUAUUGUAUCUCUUCAAACACUCCCCUAAUGCAUCCAGCUUCUCUAUCUCGGCGCCAAGCCGCCAAGCACAUCAAGUUCAUGGCAACGUCACAAACAUAGAUCAAGGAACCAAUUCCUCACUUCGGUGGAGGUGACAGGUGACAGGAUCCAGAUAUCUGAUCUAGGCUGAGUUGGUCAUCAUGGCUUGGAGAAUGAAGAUAAAACUUCCAAAGCUGCAAAUAACUCAAAGGCAAACAGGUUCAGCUGUGAGAAGGUCUGUUACUCCCAGGGGUCUGCCGAAGGCCAAUCAUGAGACUGAAACAACAGUGAAAACAAGCACUGAUCAUGAAGCCAAUUCCAUCCGGAUUGACACCAGCACUCUUGAUCAGAAUGAAGACGUGGAGAACCAGGGUGCACGACGUUUGCAUGAGAUAAAACAAAUUGCUAAUGCUGAAUCGUGGGGGAAAAUUAGAGAGCAUCUCUUAAAGGCUGCUGUUGAAAGUUCUAUUCUUCCACCUGGCCAGUCUUGCAGUGUGUGCGCUAACUGUGCACAGUACAGAUGUGUUGAUUGUGGGCCUACAAUAUACUAUUGUGAGGCUUGUCUCGGAGAUUCUCAUUUGAUGCGCAACAUUUUUCACUGUGCUGAAAUCUGGGAGGAUGAAAUGUACAAGCCAAUAACUAUCGAGGGCCGGUGUAUUGAUGUCUCUCCUAAUCACCAAUGUUCCACAAAGAAGGCAGUACCUCUUUGCUGUAUUGACACAAAAGGGAUUGAGCACAGAAUCCAGUUUUGGUGUUGUGAAUGUGAGACUGUAUGUGAAACAAUGAUACGAGCUCGUCUAUGGCCAGCAAGCCCAAGAUUCCCAGAAACAGCAUUCACUUUUGAGCUACUAGACUGGGCCGAGUCGCUUCUUCUGGAAUGUCAAGUAGCACUUGGUGACUUUUGCAGGUCAUUAUACUUUAAUUGCCCACAUUUAGUGAACAAGAGAAGAGACAUUUAUGCUUCAAUGAUCGACGCUUUUGAAGAAUACAGGUAUUUGAAAAUGGAACUCCGGCAUAUGAGUUUUGUGAGCCCAAAGCUUGACAGUGGCAACAUCUGUCCAGCUUGUCCAAAGAAUGACGGAAGCCUUUUCAUUUCAAUGGAUGCUUUGUUUGGUCUACCCCGAAAAAAGUCUGCUGGGAAGAGCCACAGGCCUCCACUUCAUGACUCUCUAUUUUUUAAAGAUCAAAGCAGUGUUGAUGAGUAUGUGUCAAAUUCUUCCGAGAUUAGGGGAGUAUGUUUAUCAUUAAUAAAUGCCAGUUACUGUAUCACACACAGACUUGUAAUGAUUUCCUUGCUGGAAGUGCAUUGAGAUCUGCAAAUAGAUACUGUGCCCUCGAUGAGACAGCUGUGUUUGGAUCUGCCUGUAGACAUGAAUUUCCCCUCAUGUUUAUCAAUUUGAAGCAUGGUGAAAGGUUGUCAUAUGCAAAGUGGUUGCUGCUAGAAAUGGUUCAGAAUUAUCCCACUCAGAAACUUAAUAUCAUGUAUGAUAUUGCUUGCAAGCUCCAUAAAAACUUAUUG
RNA transcript from Halichondria panicea, 2148 nucleotides. RefSeq lists it as uncharacterized. The transcript has 10 exons. Lineage: Eukaryota; Metazoa; Porifera; Demospongiae; Suberitida; Halichondriidae. The record is from RefSeq and is a predicted model, not a curated record.